AUUGCUUGAACCCAGGAGGCAGAGGUUGCAGUGAGCCCAGAUGACGCCACUGCACUCCAGCCUGGGUGACAGAGUAUGAAUCCGUCUAAAAAAAAAAAGUGAAUUUUAUAACUUAAUAUGCCUUCGCUUUUUGCUUUGGCUCCCAGGAAGCUCAGAGCUAGUCUGCAGGCCAAAUUUAUAACUACGUAGAACGAGAUUUGCAGAUCUGAAUUAUUCUCUCCCCUUAGAGGUAUCAUGCUUAUUCUGUUGUUCACAUCCCCUAACUGGAUCUUUGUUGUUAAAUAUCUGCCUGUGGUGUUCCGUUGUUUUCCUUUGGCAGGCUGCUUGAGAUGUUUGGUGAAAUGAGGCAACGUGCCUGUGAUUUUGUUUUCAGCCCCAUCGCCAAGGCACCCUCUGAGGCUUGCAGUCUCCAUGGGCACAGCCAGGCUGGAGUACAACGGCGUGAUCUCGGCUUUCCACAACCUCCACCUCCCGGGAUCAAGUGAUUCCCCUGCCUCAGCCUCCUAAGUAGUAGGAAUUACAGGUGUGCACCACCACACCCGGCUAACUUUUGUAUUUUUAGUAGAGACACGGUUUUGUCAUGUUGGCCAGGCUGGUCUCAAUCUCCUGACCUCAAGUGAUCCACCCGCCUGGGUCUCCCCAAAAUGCUAGAAAUACAGGUAUGAGCCACUGUGCCUGGCCCAAGAUCUUUGUGUUAGACUCAUGCUGAGUGUCCCACAUUGUAGGAAGCUCCUAAAAUGACCCCCAGUGAAAGCCCCUCUCCUGGCUUUCACCCUCUUGAUAUCUCUCCCUUGAGUGUGGGCUGGACUUAACAGCUCACUUCUAAUGAAUAGGAUAUGAUGGGGGUGAUGAAUGUCACUUCUGAGAUGAAGUUCUAAAAAGACUAUGGAGUCUGUCUUGGGCUCUCUCCCUCCGCUCACUCUAGGGGAAGCCAGCUGUCAUGUCAGGAGGUACCCGGAGCCUCUGUAUGGCUGGGAGCUAGAAGCAGCCUCAACCCAGAGUCAGUAGGAGUCGGAGGGCCUCAUUCCACCAGCUCACAGGGAACUGAAGCCCACCCACAAUUACGUAAGUGAGCUUGCACCGCAGUCAGGCUGGGGAUUCCCUCUCGGCCAAGUGUUCAGAUGAAACUGCAGCCCCAGCCACAGCUUGACUGCGUGUUGUUGGCGACCUGGGGGCAGAGGCACCAGCUCAGCUAUACCUGGAUUCCUGACUCAGAGACCAUCUGAUAAUAAAUGUUUACUAGUUUUCAACUGCUAAACGUGAGGGCAAUUUGUUAUACCGUAAUAAAUAAUACAUGUGAAGUGGAACCGUAUAAAAUUGUUAUUUAUUACGUUUUUAAAAGUUAAAUGUCAGCAAUUUCUUAUGAGUCAAACCAACUGCUCUACCCUAUGCUUAUUAUAGAACAUCCUGCAAGCUCCUUGUUCUUUAAUCUCGCUCCAAAAAUGUGGAAAUAGGCU
RNAcentral lists this long non-coding RNA (1457 nucleotides) under Callithrix jacchus (white-tufted-ear marmoset). RNAcentral's name for it is "lncRNA (ENSCJAG00000064743.2)". The record is from RNAcentral. Lineage: Eukaryota; Metazoa; Chordata; Mammalia; Primates; Cebidae.